Molecule: long non-coding RNA, 1175 nt
Filed under: Cyanistes caeruleus (blue tit)
Lineage: Eukaryota; Metazoa; Chordata; Aves; Passeriformes; Paridae
Description: lncRNA (ENSCCEG00000013815.1)
Source: RNAcentral
CUUUCUCUGUCUAUAGGAAUUGCAAUUUCUGUCCUUUCCUGCAAGACUCUGGGGGAAGACUUUAGGGAACAUCCUCCUUCUCGUGUCAACUGUGCCUCACUUCUACCAUUGAAACCACAAUUCACUAGUGGUCAGCAAUUGUCCUGCCGUUUCAUCCCUUGGGAAGAAAAGCUGGCAUUUUUCUGGCACAACGUAGAAGUGGCAUGGCCCCCCUGCAGAGUAUUGGUUCCUAAGGAAUUUUAUUAGGAGAACUCUGAAACUCCAAGGCAGUUACAUUAUUACUAAAGAGGUUUCAUGGUGUUUUAUGGAGCUUCAGCAUUUCCUCUUCCAUGAAGAGAAAAGCUCCUGGGAAGAAGAUAUUCCUCAGGUAUUCUGUGUUUUUAUGAGGCUGGGAAAGCAACUGCAUUAAAAUAAUCUCAUGAAAUAUAGAAUACAACAAAACACAUUCUCCUAUUAGCAUAUUAUUCUCUUUUCUUCCAUAGACAGCUGGUAACUUUUCAUUUCCGGACAUCUAAUACAGGGCAAACCAUAGAGAGUUGCUCUCCACUUGACACCAAAUCCCAAGCUCUGUGUAUUCUGUGUAUUCUUUCAAUUGGUAAGGAUCAGAAGUGAAGAUAUUUUCCUGAUACCACUGCUUUGUGAAAGUGACUGCUGGUAGGGGUUCUGAUUUUAAUCUGUACUGAAUAUGGUCAUGUCAUAAAUGCAAAUUACAAUAAUUUCCGCUCCUUUUUUUUUCAUUCCUAAAUCCAUAACCAUUUUUCUCAAUCUGAGAAGUAUCUGCAGUUGUUGUGGAAGAUCUUUUGCGUGUUAGAUGUUCUUUUGUAAGAACUUGAAUAGAAUUGCAGAUGAAAUUUCUAUUUUAUGCAGGACUUGCUCUGGAUGAAACAUAUAACAUUCUCUAAAAUUAUCUAAAUUUAUGUAUGUGUGUAUGCUUGUAUUCAAAUGUCUAGUGCUUCCUGGCUACAAAGUAUUUUUUCAAGGAACUAGGUCUACAACAUUAUAUAAACUUUUUUUCAAACAUUGGAACAACACACAGUAAAUUGAAAAAAACUAUUAAAGACAGGAAGUAACUGAUGUAGAAAUAAUCUGAAGUAUUUAUUGCUUUUCUGCCUACAACUAACUCUUUUAUUUUCCUCUUUGUCUUUUUUUUGUUCGAGUAAAAAAAUCAUCAGGGU